GGCUGAUACCGCCCAAGAGUUCAUAUCGACGGCGGUGUUUGGCACCUCGAUGUCGGCUCAUCACAUCCUGGGGCUGAAGUAGGUCCCAAGGGUAUGGCUGUUCGCCAUUUAAAGUGGUACGCGAGCUGGGUUUAGAACGUCGUGAGACAGUUCGGUCCCUAUCUGCCGUGGGCGCUGGAGAAUUGAGGGGGGCUGCUCCUAGUACGAGAGGACCGGAGUGGACGCAUCACUGGUGUUCGGGUUGUCAUGCCAAUGGCACUGCCCGGUAGCUAAAUGCGGAAGAGAUAAGUGCUGAAAGCAUCUAAGCACGAAACUUGCCCCGAGAUGAGUUCUCCCUGAGACU
Molecule: ribosomal RNA, 343 nt
Filed under: Klebsiella pneumoniae
Lineage: Bacteria; Pseudomonadati; Pseudomonadota; Gammaproteobacteria; Enterobacterales; Enterobacteriaceae
Description: partial 23S ribosomal RNA
Rfam family: Bacterial large subunit ribosomal RNA
Source: RNAcentral